Molecule: ribosomal RNA, 253 nt
Filed under: uncultured bacterium
Lineage: Bacteria
Description: partial 16S ribosomal RNA
Rfam family: Bacterial small subunit ribosomal RNA
Source: RNAcentral
GACGGAGGAUUCAAGUGCUAUCCGGAAUCACUGGGCGUAAAGCGUCUGUAGGUGGUCAAAUAAGUCAACUGUUAAAUCUUGAGUCUCAACCUCAAAAUCGCAGUCGAAACUAUUAGACUAGAGUAUAGUAGGGGUAAAGGGAAUUUCCAGUGGAGCGGUGAAAUGCGUAGAGAUUGGAAAGAACACCGAUGGCGAAGGCACUUUACUGGGCUAUUACUAACACUGAGAGACGAAAGCUAGGGUAGCAAAGGGG